UACGUAGGAGGCGAGCGUUGUCCGGAUUUACUGGGCGUAAAGAGCUCGUAGGCGGUGUGUCGCGUCGGCCGUGAAAACUUGCAGCUUAACUGUGGGCGUGCGGUCGAUACGGGCAUCACUGGAGUUCGGCAGGGGAGACUGGAAUUCCUGGUGUAGCGGUGAAAUGCGCAGAUAUCAGGAGGAACACCGGUGGCGAAGGCGGGUCUCUGGGCCGAUACUGACGCUGAGGAGCGAAAGCGUGGGGAGCGAACAGG
This 254-nucleotide ribosomal RNA is filed under the name uncultured bacterium. Its description in RNAcentral is "partial 16S ribosomal RNA". It matches the Rfam family "Bacterial small subunit ribosomal RNA", at positions 524 to 776 of the family's 1533-position model. The record is from RNAcentral.